UACGUAGGGUGCAAGCGUUGUCCGGAAUUAUUGGGCGUAAAGAGCUCGUAGGCGGUUUGUUGCGUCGGCUGUGAAAUCCCGAGGCUCAACCUCGGGUCUGCAGUCGAUACGAGCAAACUAGAGUGUUGCAGGGGAGACUGGAAUUCCUGGUGUAGCGGUGAAAUGCGCAGAUAUCAGGAGGAACACCGGUGGCGAAGGCGGGUCUCUGGGCAUCAACUGACGCUGAGGAGCGAAAGCGUGGGGAGCGAACAGG
RNAcentral lists this ribosomal RNA (253 nucleotides) under uncultured bacterium. RNAcentral describes it as "partial 16S ribosomal RNA". It matches the Rfam family "Bacterial small subunit ribosomal RNA", at positions 524 to 776 of the family's 1533-position model. The record is from RNAcentral.